GCCGCAAACAUCCGUGCGGUAUAGCGUGAAUAACCCUGUAUAUAUGUAUAUCAAUAAAUCAAUCGUUUUCCGCUUUACGCAAUUUUCGAAUCCAUUAUCGACUAUCGUAUUGCACAAAUAAUUCGAGAUGUUUUUAAAAGUUAAUGGAAUUUUUUCGAUUCUUGUCUAAUAAUUAGUUCGAUUUUCCCCAUCCAUUCAUUGAAAGUUCAUAUUCGAAAAAUACUCGAAAAAAAAACAAUUUAUAACAUUUUUCCGCACUGUCCAGUAACCUCUUAAAAGGAAUUACCCGAAUUUUUAUCACCGCGUAUAUUGUUUCUAAUGUAAAAUUUUUCAUUUAAUUGAAGGACCUUGAGGAAACAACCGAUCAAGCAUUUAAAUAUCAUUAUUUACAGAUUCGCCCAUCAUCUGUACAGGGUUAGCGAAACUCGAUGUUUUAGGUUUAGUAUAAGGAAAGUAAAAACAAUAAAAACACUCCGGAGAAAGUUUCUUAAAUGGUGUUGAGUAAAGUAUUUUAAGAGAACUUUUGAUUUUGGAAACUGAAGAGACAACAUUUUUUGCAAGAAAAAAGUUUAUCGUUCUCCGUUCAAAAAUUAUUGCUAUUAGAACAAGUAUCGGAAAAAAUUCGCAGUCAUCUUAAUGAUUUAAAAAAAUUAACAUUCACCUUUAAUUUUACAUAUUAUAUAGAAUAAUGAAUUUAUUAUAGUACAUCCCAGAUAAACCAGGUCAGUUUGUGGAUCUAGACACAGCUGAAAUUGUUGGAGAACACACUGGAAUUCACAAAUGGACAUUAGGUCAAAGAUCGAGACUAGAAAGCUUACCUGAGCCAUUCUUUAUUUGUGGAAAAAAUGUCGAAAAUAAUAUAAUCUACGUUGUUCAAGGAACAAACCAUCCGUCUCUAUACUCCACUCUAUGUUCCACAUCCGAUGCUCACUGGAUUCACUCGGACCCUCAGGAAUUGCAAAACAACAAAGUAUUGAACUGUGACUUCAAAUUUCAGCACACACAGAAUCGUGUUAAGUGUAAAUUGUGCAAAUUGAGCACUGGGCUGGUUGUAAAGUUAGAAACUCCUCUGCGCGCUCUCACACCGGGGCAAUACGCAGUGUUUUAUAACGGCCAAGAAUGUUUAGGGAGCGCUAGAAUUGUGAACGUUGGACCGUCGAAUUUUAUUUUAAAUUAUCCAUUGGAGGUUCGCAGUAAUGAUACAGAAAACUGUAUAGAAAAAAGUCAUAAGUUUGUUAGAAAUCGGAGAAAAGUUGGAAAUAAAAUAGCUAGUAGUUCCUAA
Long non-coding RNA from Dendroctonus ponderosae (mountain pine beetle), 1282 nucleotides. RefSeq lists it as uncharacterized. The record is from RefSeq and is a predicted model, not a curated record. Lineage: Eukaryota; Metazoa; Arthropoda; Insecta; Coleoptera; Curculionidae. The transcript has 2 exons.